UGGCGAACGGGUGAGUAACACGUGGGUGAUCUGCCCUGCACUCUGGGAUAAGCCUGGGAAACUGGGUCUAAUACCGGAUAGGACCAUGCUUUAGUGUGUGUGGUGGAAAGUUUUUUCGGUGUAGGAUGAGCCCGCGGCCUGUCAGCUUGUUGGUGGGGUAAUGGCCUACCAAGGCGGCGACGGGUAGCCGGACUGAGAGGUUGGUCGGCCACAUUGGGACUGAGAUACGGCCCAG
Molecule: ribosomal RNA, 235 nt
Filed under: uncultured Actinomycetales bacterium
Lineage: Bacteria; Bacillati; Actinomycetota; Actinomycetes; Actinomycetales
Description: partial 16S ribosomal RNA
Rfam family: Bacterial small subunit ribosomal RNA
Source: RNAcentral